Molecule: ribosomal RNA, 214 nt
Filed under: uncultured microorganism
Description: partial 16S ribosomal RNA
Rfam family: Bacterial small subunit ribosomal RNA
Source: RNAcentral
GUGUAGCAGUCGCGAAACUUCCACAAUGGACGAAAGUCUGAUGGAGCGACGCCGCGUGCGGGGAUGAAGGCCUUAUGGGUUGUAAACCGCUGUCAGGGGGGAAGAACAUCGGAAUGAACAAUACUCAUUCCGACUGACCGUUACCCCCAGAGGAAGCUCCGGCCAACUCCGUGCCAGCAGCCGCGGUAAGUACGGGGGAGCAAGCGUUGUCCGG